AUCUCAGAUGGUAAAGAAUCUGCCUGCAAUGCAGAAGACCCAGGUUCAAUCCCUGG
This 56-nucleotide transfer RNA is filed under the name Capra hircus (goat). It matches the Rfam family "tRNA", at positions 9 to 63 of the family's 71-position model. Rfam says of the family: Transfer RNA (tRNA) molecules are approximately 80 nucleotides in length. Their secondary structure includes four short double-helical elements and three loops (D, anti-codon, and T loops). Lineage: Eukaryota; Metazoa; Chordata; Mammalia; Artiodactyla; Bovidae. RNAcentral also lists the same sequence under 1 other name. The record is from Rfam by way of RNAcentral.